This 253-nucleotide ribosomal RNA is filed under the name uncultured bacterium. RNAcentral's name for it is "partial 16S ribosomal RNA". It matches the Rfam family "Bacterial small subunit ribosomal RNA", at positions 524 to 776 of the family's 1533-position model. The record is from RNAcentral.
AACGUAGGAGACAAACGUUAUCCGGAGUUACUGGGCGUAAAGGGCGUGUAGGCGGCUAGUUAAGUCUGGCGUGAAAGCUCUCGGCUAAACCGGGAGAGGUCGUUGGAUACUGGCUGACUAGAGGACGGUAGAGGCGUGUGGAAUUCCGGGUGUAGUGGUGAAAUGCGUAGAGAUCCGGAGGAACACCAGUGGCGAAGGCGACACGCUGGGCCGUACCUGACGCUAAAGCGCGACAGCAUGGGGAGCAAACGGG